RNAcentral lists this ribosomal RNA (324 nucleotides) under uncultured eukaryote. Its description in RNAcentral is "partial 18S ribosomal RNA". It matches the Rfam family "Eukaryotic small subunit ribosomal RNA", at positions 1470 to 1796 of the family's 1831-position model. The record is from RNAcentral.
CCCUUAGAUGUUCUGGGCUGCACGCGCGCUACACUGAUGCAUUCAACGAGUUUCUUCCUGGUCCGAGAGGAAUGGGUAACCUUUUGAAAGUGCAUCGUGAUAGGGAUAGACUAUUGCAAUUAUUGGUCUUCAACGAGGAAUUCCUAGUAGACGUAGUUCAUCAGACUGCAUCGAUUACGUCCCUGCCCUUUGUACACACCGCCCGUCGCUCCUACCGAUUGAAUGCCCAGGUGAGCCAUUCGGACUUUCAUCAUGCUGGUUUCCAGUUUUGAUGAAGGAAAGUCUUGCGAACCUUAUCAUUUAGAGGAAGGAGAAGUCGUAACA